Long non-coding RNA from Neopelma chrysocephalum (saffron-crested tyrant-manakin), 197 nucleotides. RefSeq lists it as uncharacterized. The transcript is spliced from 2 exons. The record is from RefSeq and is a predicted model, not a curated record. NCBI's taxonomy places the organism in Eukaryota, Metazoa, Chordata, Aves, Passeriformes, Pipridae.
GGAGCGGGGCGGGCGGCGAGCGCGGCAUCGGGGGCCGUGACAGGGCUAGGGCUUAAUAAAGCCUCCGGGAGGAUGAUUCUGUAAUAAGACAACCACAGCAGAACUCCCUGUCUCUCUGAAGGUGCAACAAGCUACACUCCUGCCGGAAAUAGCACCUAUGAAAUAGUAGCUGUUAUUAAUGAAACAGUUGUACAGUA